RNAcentral lists this ribosomal RNA (256 nucleotides) under uncultured archaeon. RNAcentral describes it as "partial 16S ribosomal RNA". It matches the Rfam family "Archaeal small subunit ribosomal RNA", at positions 1101 to 1355 of the family's 1478-position model. The record is from RNAcentral.
GAGACCGCUGGCGCUAAGUCAGAGGAAGGGGGAGGGCAACGGUAGGUCAGUAUGCUCCGAAUGCUAUGGGCUACACGCGCAAUACAAAGGACGGGACAAUGGGCUGCUACUCCGAAAGGAAUGACGCUAUCCCGAAACCCGUUCGUAGUUCGGAUUGAGGGCUGUAACUCGCCCUCAUGAAGCUGGAUUAGGUAGUAAUCGCGUCUCAAUAAGGCGCGGUGAAUAUGCCCCUGCUCCUUGCACACACCGCCCGUCA